RNAcentral lists this transfer RNA (71 nucleotides) under Alectoria fallacina. RNAcentral describes it as "tRNA-Met". It matches the Rfam family "tRNA". From Rfam's summary of the family: Transfer RNA (tRNA) molecules are approximately 80 nucleotides in length. Their secondary structure includes four short double-helical elements and three loops (D, anti-codon, and T loops). Lineage: Eukaryota; Fungi; Ascomycota; Lecanoromycetes; Lecanorales; Parmeliaceae. The record is from RNAcentral.
UGCGGAUUGAUGUAAUAGUAACAUAAGUGGCUCAUGACCAGUCUAUAGGGGUGCGAAUCCUUUAUCCGCAU